This 253-nucleotide ribosomal RNA is filed under the name uncultured bacterium. RNAcentral describes it as "partial 16S ribosomal RNA". It matches the Rfam family "Bacterial small subunit ribosomal RNA", at positions 524 to 776 of the family's 1533-position model. The record is from RNAcentral.
UACAGAGGGUGCGAGCGUUGUUCGGAAUUAUUGGGCGUAAAGCGCAUGUAGGCGGGAUGUUAAGUCGCGUGUGAAAGCCCCAGGCUCAACCUGGGAAGUGCGCGCGAAACUGGCAACCUUGAGUGCUGGAGAGGGUGGCGGAAUUCCCGGUGUAGAGGUGAAAUUCGUAGAUAUCUGGAGGAACACCGGUGGCGAAGGCGGCAUCCUGGACCGAUAUUGACGCUGAUGCGCGAAAGCCAGGGGAGCAAACGGG